RNAcentral lists this long non-coding RNA (297 nucleotides) under Homo sapiens (human). Its description in RNAcentral is "HSALNT0407105". Lineage: Eukaryota; Metazoa; Chordata; Mammalia; Primates; Hominidae. The record is from RNAcentral.
AGCAGCCAUAGGGAACUAACACAGAGGAUUUGAAUGAGUGUCCAAAACCAAGCAAGUAAGAAAAUGCAAGGCAGUUAUUGACAUUGGGAAAAACUAAGUUGUAAAAAAGGAAACAAUCUGUAUAAUCCACCUGGUUCAGCAAAAUAAAUAAAAAGAAAGAAAGAAAGAAAAAAAAACACAGCAAAAAAAAAAGAGAGAGAGAAACCAAUAUUUAUGUGGCUGUAUAAUGUCAAGCAAUUAAUAUUAACCAAAAAAUAUGAUAAUAAUAAAUUGGCAGACUUUGGGGUUGGAAGGCAG